AGUGAACGCUGGCGGCAGGCCUAAUACAUGCAAGUCGAACGGCAGCACAGCAGAGCUUGCUCUGUGGGUGGCGAGUGGCGGACGGGUGAGGAAUACGUGGGAAUCUGCCCAGUCGUGGGGGAUAACGUAGGGGAACUUACGCUAAUACCGCAUGCGCCCUUCGGGGAAAGCCGGGGACCUUCGGGCCUGGCGCGAUUGGAUGAGCCCACGUCGGAUUAGCUAGUUGGCGGGGUAAAGGCCCACCAAGGCGACGAUCCGUAGCUGGUCUGAGAGGAUGAUCAGCCACACUGGAACUGAGACACGGUCCAGACUCCUACGGGAGGCAGCAGUAGGGAAUAUUGGACAAAUGGGCGCAAGCCUGAUCCAGCCAUGCCGCGUGAGUGAAGAAGGCCCUCGGGUUGUAAAGCUCUUUUGUCCGGAAAGAAAGCGCCGGGUUAAUACCCUGGUGUCCUGACGGUACCGGAAGAAUAAGCACCGGCUAACUUCGUGCCAGCAGCCGCGGUAAU
This 506-nucleotide ribosomal RNA is filed under the name uncultured bacterium. RNAcentral's name for it is "bacterial SSU rRNA". It matches the Rfam family "Bacterial small subunit ribosomal RNA", at positions 29 to 524 of the family's 1533-position model. The record is from RNAcentral.